Molecule: long non-coding RNA, 993 nt
Filed under: Homo sapiens (human)
Lineage: Eukaryota; Metazoa; Chordata; Mammalia; Primates; Hominidae
Description: HSALNT0116905
Source: RNAcentral
ACCUCCUCGCCGGGAAAGCAGUGAUCUGUGAGGCUGAGUCUGGGAAUCCCCCUCUCCAGAAGAAAUGAGAUGCAGCCGCUCUCCAGGUGCUUAGGAGGAGCUGUGGGGUCUCAGCGGAGGAACUUCACCAAAGACAGUCAAUGCAGAGCCGAUACGUCCUGGCUAAACUGGAUCUCCGUGGCAGGCGGCCCCGCCUGGCCUGGCUUUCGGGGAGACAUUUCCUGCUGCAUCCUGCAGAGAACACCCUGCGGUCCUCAGGUUCCUGACUUCCUUAGUCUUCUCGGGGCCUAAGGUUUCCUGAGUUCAAGUUCAAGUUCAUAUCUGAAGGGGUCUGACAGGCGCCAGGCCAGAAUCCUGGAUAACUGGCACCCCAAUGACCACUCGGCUGUCUCUGGAAACUUCUCCAUGGGUCUGGACCCCCUGCUCACCUCCGGGAAAGACAGACUACACCUGCCCUGGCCCGCGGGAGCACAUAGGGCUCUUCCAGACCCUUCCGGACCCUUCCAGACCCUUCUGGAGGUCCUGCUCCCACGUUCGCUCACCUCCUACGCCAGCCUUACUUUCAAAGACGGGAGAAAGGGGGAGCUUUGGACGACCUCAUGGAACAAAGGUGAGGAUGUCUUCACUUUGGUAAUUAAAUGCUUAGAUGUCAUUUUGUGACCUGAUGUCUGUUCCUGCCCCUGCAGCACACAAAUCACUCAAACCUGCACCCUGGCCAGGGUCUGCACCUCCUGCUCCGAGCACUGGCGGUACCUCAUCUCGGGUGCCAGCCUUUUGGCUCUGGAAGCAGCCACAGCUAGGACUGCCGCUGGGAGAGGAGAAAACUUGGUUUGUAGAAGGCAGGAGCAGAGCCUGACUCCAGGAUCCUCCAGGCCUGUGUGGGCACCUUUUAGGGUCCAAAGCCCUCUAGAAACACGCUCCAAAAACCAAAUUCCAGCCCACACCAGGGUGAGGGUGGGGUGGGGAAGGGCGUAAAGGCAGGCAGAGCUUCCG